RNAcentral lists this transfer RNA (84 nucleotides) under archaeon. Its description in RNAcentral is "tRNA-Leu". It matches the Rfam family "tRNA". Rfam says of the family: Transfer RNA (tRNA) molecules are approximately 80 nucleotides in length. Their secondary structure includes four short double-helical elements and three loops (D, anti-codon, and T loops). Further hydrogen bonds mediate the characteristic L-shaped molecular structure. tRNAs have two regions of fundamental functional importance: the anti-codon, which is responsible for specific mRNA codon recognition, and the 3' end, to which the tRNAs corresponding amino acid is attached (by aminoacyl-tRNA synthetases). tRNAs cope with the degeneracy of the genetic code in two manners: having more than one tRNA (with a specific anti-codon) for a particular amino acid; and 'wobble' base-pairing, i.e. permitting non-standard base-pairing at the 3rd anti-codon position. The record is from RNAcentral.
GCAGGGGUAGCCAAGUGGUCAAAGGCGCUAGGUUCAGGGCCUAGUCGAUUAGUUCGUUCGAGGGUUCGACUCCCUUCCCCUGCA